Molecule: ribosomal RNA, 449 nt
Filed under: uncultured bacterium
Lineage: Bacteria
Description: partial 16S ribosomal RNA
Rfam family: Bacterial small subunit ribosomal RNA
Source: RNAcentral
AACGAACGCUAGCGGCAUGCCUAACACAUGCAAGUCGAGCGAGACCUUCGGGUCUAGUGGCGCACGGGUGCGUAACGCGUGGGAAUCUGCCCUUCGGUUGGGAAUAACUGAGAGAAAUUUCAGCUAAUACCUUAUAAUGUCUUCGGACCAAAGAUUUAUCGCCGAGGGAUGAGCCCGCGUAGGAUUAGGUAGUUGGUGGGGUAAUGGCCUACCAAGCCGACGAUCCUUAGCUGGUCUGAGAGGAUGAUCAGCCACACUGGGACUGAGACACGGCCCAGACUCCUACGGGAGGCAGCAGUGGGGAAUAUUGGACAGUGGGCGAAAGCCUGAUCCAGCAAUGCCGCGUGAGUGAUGAAGGCCUUAGGGUUGUAAAGCUCUUUCACCGGUGAAGAUAAUGACGGUAACCGGAGAAGAAGCCCCGGCUAACUUCGUGCCAGCAGCCGCGGUAA